RNAcentral lists this transfer RNA (66 nucleotides) under Doto coronata. RNAcentral describes it as "tRNA-Leu". The record is from RNAcentral. Lineage: Eukaryota; Metazoa; Mollusca; Gastropoda; Nudibranchia; Dotidae.
AUUGACUUGGCAGAAUUAAUGCACCUGAUUUAGGAUCAGCUUAUAAUAUGUAUAUAUUAGUCGAUA